RNAcentral lists this transfer RNA (72 nucleotides) under Roseburia hominis. RNAcentral's name for it is "tRNA-Lys". It matches the Rfam family "tRNA". Rfam says of the family: Transfer RNA (tRNA) molecules are approximately 80 nucleotides in length. The record is from RNAcentral. RNAcentral also lists the same sequence under 2 other names. Lineage: Bacteria; Bacillati; Bacillota; Clostridia; Lachnospirales; Lachnospiraceae.
GGAUAUUAGCUCAGGUGGUAGAGCACUUGACUUUUAAUCAAGUUGUCCGGGGUUCGAAUCCCCGAUGUCUCA